This 2786-nucleotide long non-coding RNA is filed under the name Homo sapiens (human). RNAcentral describes it as "non-protein coding lnc-STT3B-2:1". Lineage: Eukaryota; Metazoa; Chordata; Mammalia; Primates; Hominidae. The record is from RNAcentral.
CUGUCAAAAACAAAUCCAAGUCUGGAUCUCGCUCUCCUCGCUCAGGAUCUGCAUCAAGAUCUCGUUCUCGUUCAUGUUGGAAGUCUCGGUCCCUAAGGCCAUCUGUCUCUGGUUCAAGGAAGUGCAGGCUGAGUUCUAGGUCUCGUUCCAGAUUAUAUUCUCCAGCUCAUAACAGAGAAAGAAACCACCCAAGAGUAUAACCGAAUCGGGAUUUCCGAGGUCACAACAAAGGCUAUAUAGAAGGCCCUAUUAUUUCCGUGGGCGCAACAGAGGCUUUUAUCCAUGGGGCCAGUAUAACGGAGGAGGCUAUGGAAACUACCGCUCAAAUUGGCAGAAUUGCCGGCAAGCACACGGGCCGUUCAAGAUCCCGGUCCCCAGCGAGAAGGUCCCCUUCACCAAGGUCCAGGAGCCAUUCUAGAAACUCUGAUAAGUCGUCUUCUGACCAGUCAAGGCGCUCCUCAUCUUCCCGUUCUUCCUCCAACCAUAGCCGAGUUGAAUCUUCUAAGCGCAAGUCUGCAAAGGAGAAAAGUCCUCUUCCGAGGAUAGCCGGCCAUCUCAGGCUACCGGGGAUAACCAGGGAGAUGAGGCCAGGGAGCAGACAUUCUCUGGAGGCACCUCUCAAGAUACAAAAGCAUCUGAGAGCUCGAAGCCAUGGCCAGAUGCCACCUACGGCACUGGUUCUGCAUCAGGGGCCUCAGCAGUUUCUGAGCUGAGUCCUCGGGAGCAAAGCUCAGCUCUCAAAAGCCCCCUCCAGGCUGUGGUGGUGAGGCAGCGGUCACUCCUUCCUAGCCCCGUGCCAAAACCUAGUCCUCCACUUUCCAGCACAUCCCAGAUGAGCUCAACUCUGCCAAGCGGUGCUGAGUAUCAGCCUGGGACACACCAAGUUCAGUUCGACCGUGGUUCUUUGGUCCCUGAGUCCAUCCAAAAACAGCCCUGUGGGUAAGAAUUUACCAUCCAUUGGCUCCACAUAUGUCUCAUCUCAGAAGGAGGAGAGUGCUGCUCCAGGAGGAGCAGCCUGUACAAAGAGGUACCUAGAAGAGCAGAAGACAGAGAAUAGAAAAGAUAAGGAACGGAAACAAACAAAUACAGAUAAAGAAAAAAUAAAAGAGAAAAGGGAGCUUCUCUGACACAGACUUGGGUGAUGGAAAAAUGAAAUCUGAUUCUUUUGCUCCCAAAACUGAUUCUGAGAAGCCUUUUCGGGGCAGUCAGUCUCUCAAAAGGCAUAAGCUCCGAAGUGACUUUGAGAAGAAGAUGGCUGACUUCCACAAGGAAGAGAUGGAUGAUCAAGAUAAGGACAAAGCUAAGGGAAGGAAGGAAUCUGAGUUUGAUGAUGAUGAACCCAAAAUAUGUCUAAAGUCAUAGGUGCAAACGAAAACCAGGAGGAGGAGAAGUCAGGCAAAUGGGAGGGCCUGGUAUAUGCACCUCCAGAGAAGGAAAAGCAGAGGAAAACAGAGGAGCUGGAGGAGGAGUCUUUCCCAGAGAGAUCCAAAAAGGAGGAUCGGGGCAAGAGAACCAAAGGUGGGCACAAGGGCUUUCUGCCUGAGAGGAAUUUCUGAGUGACUGCUCACAAAGCGGUCCGGGAGAAAAGCUCUUUGCCUCCCCCAAGAAAGACUUCUGAGAGCCGAGACAAGCUGGAAGCGAAAGGAGACUUUUCCACAGGGAAGUCUUCCUUUUCCAUUACUCGAGAGACACAGGGCGAUGUCUGGAUGGACUCUUUUGAUGAGGACUUUGCACGACCCAAUGGCUUAUUGGCUCGGGAACGCAAGCUUUGCCAAGAUCUAGUCCAUAGCAACAAAAAGGAACAGGAGUUUUGUUCCAUUUUCCAGCACAUACAGUCAGCUCAGUCUCAGCGUAGCCCCUCAGAACUGUUUGCCCAACAUAUAGUGACCAUUAUUCACCAUGUUAAAGAGCAUCACUUUGGGUCCUCAGGAAUGACAUUACAUGAACGCUUUACUAAAUACCUAAAGAGACUAACUGAGCAGGCGGCAGCCAAAAACAAGAAAAGCCCAGAGAUACACAGAAGAAUAGACGUUUCCCCCAGUACCUGGCUACAACGCUGAGGGAAAAUACAAAGAUGAUCCUGUUGAUCUCAGCCUUGAUAUUGAACGUCAGGAGAGAGAUCUUAAAUUAGGUAAAUCGAGAGGAUCAGUGGAUUCCUGAGACUCCAGGCCCUCGAGGAAAAGGUCAGCUGAGAAAACAGAGAAAACUCAUAAAGGAUCAAAGAAGCAGAAGAAGCACCAGAGAUCGAGAGACAGGUCCAGAUCCUCCUCUUCCUCCCAGUCAUCUCACUCCUACAAAGCAGAAGAGUACACGGAAGAGACAGAGGAAAGAGAGGAAAGCACCACGGGCUUUGAGAAAUCGAGACUGGGGACCAAAGUCUUGGUGGGUCCAAGUGAAAGAGGAGGUGGCAGAGCUCGAGGAACCUUUCCAUUUUGAGCCAGAGGAAGAGGCUGGGGCAGAGGCAACUACUCUGGGAACAAUAAAAACAACAGCAACGAUUUUCAAAAAAGAAACCAGAAAGAGGAGUGGGACCCAGAGUACACACCCAAAAGCAAGAAGCAUUACUUGCAUGAUGACCAUGAAGGUGAAGGCAGUGACAAGUGGGUGAGCCGGGGCCAGGGGGAGGAGCCUUUCCUCCGGGUCAGGUCCGGUUCAUGUUCCAGAAAUCAAGUACCAGACCUAAGCUGGCCCAUGACAAAUUCAGUGGGGAGGAAGGGCAGAUUGAAGACAACAAGAGUGGGACAGAGAACUGAGAAGAGGACAAUUUAUAGCCCACAACCAAGUAG